RNAcentral lists this ribosomal RNA (772 nucleotides) under uncultured Neocallimastigales. Its description in RNAcentral is "partial large subunit ribosomal RNA". It matches the Rfam family "Eukaryotic large subunit ribosomal RNA", at positions 20 to 644 of the family's 3401-position model. Lineage: Eukaryota; Fungi; Neocallimastigomycota; Neocallimastigomycetes; Neocallimastigales. The record is from RNAcentral.
UACUAGAGUAGCACUCGCAUAUCAAUAAGCGGAGGAAAAGAAACUAACAAGGAUUCCCCUAGUAACGGCGAGUGAAGCGGGAAGAGCUCAAAUUUGAAAUCUUAAAGGGUUUCCCUUUACGAAUUGUAGUUUAAAGAAGUGUUUUCUGUUGAGGUUUUGGUAAAAGUUCUUUGGAAUAGGACAUCAUAGAGGGUGAGAAUCCCGUAUUUGACCUUUACUUUCAACUUUGUGAUACACUUUCAAAGAGUCGGAUUGUUUGGGAAUGCAGUCCAAAAUGGGUGGUAAAUCUCAUCUAAAGCUAAAUAUUGGCGAGAGACCGAUAGCGAACAAGUACCGUGAGGGAAAGAUGAAAAGAACUUUGAAAAGAGAGUUAAACAGUACGUGAAAUUGUCAAAAGGGAAGCGUUUGACACCAGUGUUGUUUUUCUGAAAAUCAAUUAAAGAACUGUUUAUGCUAAGUUGUUUAGACUUUAUCAGCUAACUGUUUAGUUUUGAGCUUUUCUUUAAUGCACUUUUCAGUUAACAAGUCAACAUCAAUUUCUUUUGCUGUAAAAAAGCUUGAGGAAGGUGGCUUGAGAUUCGUCUUAAGUGUUUAUAGCCUCUUGCCUAUGCAGUCGGAGAGAUUGAGGUCCGCAGCGUAGAUCCUUCGGGGCUAAAUGCAUUUGUGCUAAGUUAUAGCAUUUAUAGACAACUUGUUGACUAUGAUUUGUCUUGUAGCUUACUCGCUUAUGUUAUUUUACCUACGCUUAGGAUGUUGAUAUCGCGCUCUCACU